GCGGUGGCGGCGUGAGAUGGGGAGCCCGGCGGGCGCUCCCGCCAAGCGCGCGCGGAGCGACGGGUCCCCCGGCCCCGAUCCCCGGCCGUGGGACACCGACCGCGGGAACCCCCGGCCGUGGGACAGAGACCGCGGGGACCUCCGGGACACCGACCGCGGGAACCCCCGGCCGUGGGACAGAGACCGCGGGGACCUCCGGGACACCGACCGCGGGAACCCCCGGCCGUGGGACGGAGACCGCGGGGACCUCCGGGACACCGACCGCGGGGACCCCCGGCUCUGGGACACCGAGCGGCUCUGCCAGCACCUCGCCCGCUGCGGCGUGGGCAACCCCGGCCUGCUGCGCCGCUUCCGAGAGAGCGGAGUCACCGGAAGGAUGCUGCUGGAGCUGCCGGCCUGCGCCCCCGAGGUCACCCGCGUCUGCUGCCCAGCUGAGCGCCUGGAAGUGCUGGCCUGCCUGAAGCAGCUGCCUCAGCAGCACGUGGACGUGAUGAAGGUUUUUAACGAUCCUAUUCAUGGGCAUAUUGAAAUACAUCCCCUGCUUGUUCGGAUCAUCGACACUCCUCAGUUCCAGCGCCUCCGGUACAUCAAGCAGCUGGGUGGCACUUACUUUGUUUUUCCAGGAGCCUCUCACAACCGCUUUGAACACUCCAUUGGGGUUGGUUACCUAGCAGGAUGUCUGGUUCGUACACUGAAGGAGAGACAACCAGAACUGGAUAUAACCCAGCGAGAUAUCCUCUGUGUAGAAAUUGCUGGGCUUUGUCACGAUUUGGGUCAUGGGCCAUUUUCACACAUGUUUGAUGGAAGAUUUAUUCCAAUGACUCGUCCAGAUUUGAAGUGGAAGCAUGAAACUGCUUCUGUUAAAAUGUUUGAGCACCUGAUAACUUCCAAUAAACUAGAAGAAGUCAUGAAGUCAUAUGGUCUUGUCCUGGAAGAAGAUAUGUUGUUUAUCAAGGAACAAAUAGGAGGGCCUAUAGAUGAAACUGCUUGUGAGAAAUCGUGGCCCUACCGUGGUCGACCAAAGGAGAAAAGUUUCCUCUAUGAGAUAGUAGCUAACAAAAAGAAUGGCAUUGACGUUGACAAGUGGGAUUAUUUUGCAAGGGAUUGCCAUCACCUGGGAAUCCCGAAUAAUUUUGAUUAUAAGCGAUUGCUUGUCUUCACUCGGGUCUGUGAAGUAAAAAACCAGAAGCAUAUCUGUACCCGUGACAAGGAAGUUGGAAAUUUGUAUGAAAUGUUCCACACCCGGAAUUGCCUGCACCGGAGAGCAUACCAGCAUAAGACUGGCAACAUCAUUGAACUAAUGAUUACAGAAGCCUUUCAAAAAGCAGACAAAUAUUUUGAAAUAAGAGGCUCUGGAGGAAAAAUGUAUCGGAUUUCUACAGCAAUGGAGGACAUGGAAGCCUACACUAAGCUAACUGACAGUAUCUACCUGGAAAUUCUGCACUCAAGUCACCCAGAACUGGAGGAGGCACGAGAAAUUUUGCGUAAAAUAGAACGACGUGAAUUAUACAAGUUUUUAGGAGAGACUCGACCUGAAACAAAGAAGGAAAUUGUAGAGAAUAAUAGCCUGGCAGAAAGUAUUGCAAAUUCUAAGCCGGAGAAGGAUCCUCCAGAUGUGGAGCUAAAGGCUGAGAAUUUCAUAGUUGAUGUAAAUACCUCUCAGAGUUAUCAACAUGGAUUAUGGAAUGAAAGAACAGAAUCCCAUUGAUAAGGUUCACUUCUAUUGCAAGGCUGAUCCUUCCAAGGCAGUCAAUAUCAGUAAAGAACAGGUUUCCAAGUUUUUACCCAUAACAUUUACGGAGCAGGUUAUCCGGGUUUAUUACAAAAGUCAGGAUCCACAUAUUAUUUCAGCUGCAAAACAGUACUUUAUUCAGUGGUGUAUGCAGAAUGAUUUCACCAAACCACAGGAUGGUGAUGUUGUUGCCCCACAUCUAACUCCAAUGAAGAAAACCUGGAAUAAUGUGAGAGAUGAUGAACACAGGAGAGCCUCAGAACCCAGCUGCAAACAAAGGCUUCCUUUUAAUGAGUAACAUGUUUCUUUUUGGCACUCUUCAGUCUACUUCCUCAGAAGAUGAGCAAACCUGAGCAGCAAUUCUUCUAAAAGCCAUUUGGAUGGACUGGAAGGAUUCAUGGAACAAUGCAGAAAUGCAUUUUACAAUACAGUAUGUUUUAAUGUACAUACUUAAACAAAGUGCAUAUUCCAAAUAGACUUUUAAAAAACAACUUAUUACAACUGAGUAAACUCGAUUCUCAUUUAUUUUUGAAUGUAUUGGCACUGUGUAGGAAGAGUAACUUUAAAAAUUGCAAUUCAUUGUUACCACAAGAUUUUACUGUUCCGUCUAGUCCUGAUCCCUUCUUUAGCUGACUGUGCUAUUGCAUGAGCUAGCAGAAAAAAUCCCAGCUCAGAUUUGAUGGGGUUUUUUUGGGGAUUGGGGUUUUUUUGGAACCUGGGGAAGAGAGGGAUAAGUAAGCUUCUGAAAACAUAGUGAGGUAAAGAAGAAAUAACUGAGGAUGGCAUCUUCAAGAAUAGCAAAACAAAUUUCCUUUAAAAAAAAAAAGAUGGGAGAGGGGAUGUUUUUUGAUAAUCCAAGAUUAUUUUUCUGAUAUUCAAAAAGCUGAUGGAGAUGCAGGACUUUUGCUAUAAGAGUGACCACAGUUUUUAUUGAAGUAACAAUGCAUUGCAGUGCCAUGCAGUCUUUUAUAGUUUUAUUGUGUACUUUUGAUACACUGAAUGUUAUAUUUUUACUGUCAGAACUGCAAAACCUGCUCAAAACGUCCAUGGUGUGAGUGGUUGCAGGAGUGCUGAGCUGUCCAGGUGAGCACAGGUGGGCAGUGCCAGCCGGAGGCUGCGCCAGCUCUGCCAUCCUGCACCAAAGGCACCUGGUUUGGGAUUACACUGUACUAGGCAGACAGGCUCUUCAGGAAUCCCUCCAUUCCUGUGUCCCUGCCUUGUUCUCCUGAAUGGCUGUCCCUGUGUCAUUUUUUCCCCCUUGUAGACCUGUGAGGGUUCUGACAGUUUUUCUGUACUGGCAUCACUGGUGUGAAUGUUGCUGAAUGUCUGUCCCGUUGAACAAGUGACCGAGGAAGACCUUUUUCCUCUCAUCUUUUACUCAGGUCUAAAGGAAGGCUGCUUUCAUUAAAUGAAACCUAAAAGCUCAAAAAAGUCUGCCCUCAAAACUAAAAACAUGAAGAAAGGUUCAGUAAUGCUCAGAAAUUAGAACAAGCUGUGGAGUUGUUGUCUGGAAUGGGGAGAAAAGCGUUGAGUGUUCAGUUUGGGCAGUCAGAGGUGGGUGGCCAGGGUAGGUUCUGAAAACUAACCCAGUGGGAAGGUGCUAUGAGUGACCUGCAGAACUCUAGUCAUGUCUCCUUUGCCCUUUUUAUCUGGUGAACUGAUGCCAUUAGGCAGAGGGAAGUAGAAUCAGCAUCCAUGUACUUACUCAAAUUUUGUUUGUUGAAAUAACCAGAAGUUGUUGUGCACUCUGCUGCUUUCUUACGUGCCUGUGCUCAUGUGUAUAGUCUGCUGGUCCUGUCUCUAACAGUAUUUCAGAUCUGCAGGUGAACCAGGUAACUGUUACAAGGGCUUGUGGUCUCUUUAAAAGCUUUUAAAGAGCUUAUUAUGCUUCAAACAACAAUAUCAUAGAGUGAAGGCAUUUAUGCCCUUUGUCUGCAUAAAAUCAAAUAUUGUCCAGAAUAAUAUAAUUUUGUUAUUGUUGCUUGGAUUUGUUUUGAAUCUGUUUCAAAAGGUGCACUUUAUACUUGGGAAAUAUCUUUUGUUUAUGUUAAACCGAAAAUUUAUACCUAAUGUUAAGUUCUGAGAGCUUUUCUUUUCCCAGCAUGUUCAACUGAGCCUCUCUGAAGAAUAAAUUUAUAAACGAUGGUUUUACUAUUCUUUUAAAGAA
Molecule: RNA transcript, 3899 nt
Organism: Pseudopipra pipra
Lineage: Eukaryota; Metazoa; Chordata; Aves; Passeriformes; Pipridae
Gene: SAMHD1
Gene name: SAM and HD domain containing deoxynucleoside triphosphate triphosphohydrolase 1
Exons: 16
Source: RefSeq, a predicted model, not a curated record